AUCCAGCUCCCUGCCUUCACUAGCAGGACCAAGUACUGAUUUUGCCCCAGAUCCCUAGGUGGCCUCCUGAAGGACUGAACUUGCAACCUUGGGUCUAGCAGGCCAAUGUACAAACCACUGAGCCAUCUCUCCCCACCCCCUGG
Long non-coding RNA from Gopherus evgoodei (Goodes thornscrub tortoise), 143 nucleotides. RefSeq lists it as uncharacterized. The record is from RefSeq and is a predicted model, not a curated record. The transcript is spliced from 3 exons. NCBI's taxonomy places the organism in Eukaryota, Metazoa, Chordata, Testudines, Testudinidae.